RNAcentral lists this ribosomal RNA (274 nucleotides) under uncultured bacterium. Its description in RNAcentral is "partial 16S ribosomal RNA". It matches the Rfam family "Bacterial small subunit ribosomal RNA", at positions 523 to 796 of the family's 1533-position model. The record is from RNAcentral.
AUACGGAGGGUCCGAGCGUUAUCCGGAAUCAUUGGGUUUAAAGGGUCCGUAGGCGGGAAUCUAAGUCAGUGGUGAAAUCUUGCAGCUCAACUGUAAAAUUGCCAUUGAUACUGGAUUUCUUGAAUUAGUGUGAAGUGGUUAGAAUGUGUAGUGUAGCGGUGAAAUGCAUAGAUAUUACACAGAAUACCAAUUGCGAAGGCAGAUCACUAACACAAUAUUGACGCUAAGGGACGAAAGCGUGGGGAGCGAACAGGAUUAGAAACCCCAGUAGUCC